GAUGAAGAACGUAGCGAAAUGCGAUAAGUAAUGUGAAUUGCAGAAUUCAGUGAAUCAUCGAAUCUUUGAACGCACCUUGCACCCUUUGGUAUUCCGAAGGGUAUGCUCGUUUGAGUGUCAUUGUACUCUCAUACUUCUAAUUCCUUUCGGGAUUGGGAGCGGUGGACUUGGGUGUUGCUGCUUUAGUUGUGGCUCACCUCAAAUAAGUUAGUGCAACUCUUGGUUGGACAUAGUACGGCGUGAUAAGUGUCUUCGCCGGCGCCUCUGUAAGGAGGGUGGCCGAUCGGGAGCUCUGUGCUUCAAACCGUCUUCGGACAAUCUUUGACAACUUGACCUCAAAUCGAGUAGGACUACCCGCUGAACUUAAGCAUAUCAAUAAGCGGAGGA
This 387-nucleotide unclassified non-coding RNA is filed under the name soil metagenome. RNAcentral describes it as "partial contains 5.8S ribosomal RNA, internal transcribed spacer 2, and large subunit ribosomal RNA". The stretch from base 1 to 120 matches the Rfam family "5.8S ribosomal RNA", at positions 35 to 154 of the family's 154-position model. The record is from RNAcentral.